RNAcentral lists this ribosomal RNA (237 nucleotides) under uncultured bacterium. RNAcentral's name for it is "partial small subunit ribosomal RNA". It matches the Rfam family "Bacterial small subunit ribosomal RNA", at positions 26 to 288 of the family's 1533-position model. The record is from RNAcentral.
AGAGCGAACGCUGGCGGCAGGCCUAAUACAUGCAAGUCGAACGGAUCCUUCGGGAUUAGUGGCGCACGGGUGAGUAACACGUGACUAACCUACCCUUGAGUGGGGGAUAACCUAGGGAAACCUGGGCUAAUACCGCAUAAUACCUUCGGGUCAAAGGAGCAAUUCGCUUAAGGAGGGGGUCGCGGCCGAUUAGUUAGUUGGCGGGGUAAUGGCCCACCAAGACUAUGAUCGGUAUCC